This 465-nucleotide ribosomal RNA is filed under the name Vreelandella stevensii. RNAcentral's name for it is "partial 16S ribosomal RNA". It matches the Rfam family "Bacterial small subunit ribosomal RNA", at positions 338 to 795 of the family's 1533-position model. The record is from RNAcentral. Lineage: Bacteria; Pseudomonadati; Pseudomonadota; Gammaproteobacteria; Oceanospirillales; Halomonadaceae.
CCUACGGGUGGCAGCAGUGGGGAAUAUUGGACAAUGGGCGAAAGCCUGAUCCAGCCAUGCCGCUUGUGUGAAGAAGGCCUUCGGGUUGUAAAGCACUUUCAGUGGGGAAGAAAGCCUUGGGGCUAAUACCCUCGAGGAAGGACAUCACCCACAGAAGAAGCACCGGCUAACUCCGUGCCAGCAGCCGCGGUAAUACGGAGGGUGCGAGCGUUAAUCGGAAUUACUGGGCGUAAAGCGCGCGUAGGCGGUCUGAUAAGCCGGUUGUGAAAGCCCCGGGCUCAACCUGGGAACGGCAUCCGGAACUGUCAGGCUAGAGUGCAGGAGAGGAAGGUAGAAUUCCCGGUGUAGCGGUGAAAUGCGUAGAGAUCGGGAGGAAUACCAGUGGCGAAGGCGGCCUUCUGGACUGACACUGACGCUGAGGUGCGAAAGCGUGGGUAGCAAACAGGAUUAGAUACCCGGGUAGUC